This 406-nucleotide ribosomal RNA is filed under the name uncultured bacterium. RNAcentral's name for it is "partial 16S ribosomal RNA". It matches the Rfam family "Bacterial small subunit ribosomal RNA", at positions 29 to 526 of the family's 1533-position model. The record is from RNAcentral.
AUUGAACGCUGGCGGCAGGCCUAACACAUGCAAGUCGAACGAGUGGCGGACGGGUGAGUAAUGUCUGGGAACCUGCCUGCUGGAGGGGGAUAACUACUGGAAACGGUAGCUAAUACCGCAUACCCUCAGAUGUUCCCAGAUGGGAUUAGCUAGUAGGUGGGGUAACGGCUCACCUAGGCGACGAUCCCUAGCUGGUCUGAGAGGAUGACCAGCCAAACGGGAACGGAGAAACGGUCCAGACUCCGACGGGAGGCAGCAGGGGGGAAUAUUGCACAAUGGGCGCAAGCCUGAUGCAGCCAUGCCGCGUGGAUGAAGAAGGCCUUCGGGUUGUAAAGUACUUUCAGCGGGGAGGCGUUACCCGCAGAAGAAGCACCGGCUAACUCCGUGCCAGCAGCCGCGGUAAUAC